UUAUACAAUACAAAUGUAUUUUGUUCUGAAAUAUGCAACAAAUUGCAUUCAAUACACCAGUGCAGUGGGUCUGACAUACAUACACAACGUGCGGAAUGGCAGGGAAAUGCAUCAAUAAGCAAAAUACAUCAAGUUUAAUUACCGCAUGCUAAAGCUAAAUAAUAAUCACUUAACAACAGCAACAACAACGAAACAAAUAUAAUUUAAGUGUAAAGUUGAAGCAACAAAACAAACUCGAGGUUUCGCCAAUUCGUAUUUUUGCAUGUCGUCUUAUCAUCAACAACAACAACAAGGCGUAGUUUCGCCCGCCGAAAAUGUCACAUAACUGUAAUUACGAAUGGAAUAAGCGCUAAAGACUGAUCAAGAUAAAAGUACUACAACAAACAGAUAGAGAGAGAGAGAGAACGACCAGCAGAGAAGAGUUGGCUAGCGGAGAUUGGAGCGAGGGCGGCGUGAAAUGCACAACCCACGCAGCAG
Long non-coding RNA from Drosophila grimshawi, 477 nucleotides. RefSeq lists it as uncharacterized. The record is from RefSeq and is a predicted model, not a curated record. The transcript has 3 exons. NCBI's taxonomy places the organism in Eukaryota, Metazoa, Arthropoda, Insecta, Diptera, Drosophilidae.